UACGAAGGGGGCGAGCGUUGUUCGGAAUCACUGGGCGUAAAGGGCGCGUAGGCGGCCCGCACAAGUCUGCGGUGAAAACCUCCGGCUUAACCGGGGGCCGGCCGUGGAAACUGUCGGGCUGGAGGCUGGGAGAGGGCAGCGGAAUUCCCGGUGUAGCGGUGAAAUGCGUAGAGAUCGGGAGGAACACCGGUGGCGAAGGCGGCUGCCUGGACCAGUCCUGACGCUGAGGCGCGAAAGCUAGGGGAGCAAACAGG
RNAcentral lists this ribosomal RNA (254 nucleotides) under uncultured bacterium. RNAcentral's name for it is "partial 16S ribosomal RNA". It matches the Rfam family "Bacterial small subunit ribosomal RNA", at positions 524 to 776 of the family's 1533-position model. The record is from RNAcentral.